This 561-nucleotide ribosomal RNA is filed under the name uncultured bacterium. RNAcentral describes it as "partial 16S ribosomal RNA". It matches the Rfam family "Bacterial small subunit ribosomal RNA", at positions 355 to 905 of the family's 1533-position model. The record is from RNAcentral.
UGGGGAAUUUUGGACAAUGGGGGAAGCCCUGAUCCAGCCAUCCCGCGUGUGCGAUGAAGGCCUUCGGGUUGUAAAGCACUUUUGGCAGGAAAGAAACGUCGCGGGUUAAUACCCCGCGAAACUGACGGUACCUGCAGAAUAAGCACCGGCUAACUACGUGCCAGCAGCCGCGGUAAUACGUAGGGUGCAAGCGUUAAUCGGAAUUACUGGGCGUAAAGCGUGCGCAGGCGGUUCGGAAAGAAAGAUGUGAAAUCCCAGAGCUUAACUUUGGAACUGCAUUUUUUAACUACCGGGCUAGAGUGUGUCAGAGGGAGGUGGAAUUCCGCGUGUAGCAGUGAAAUGCGUAGAUAUGCGGAGGAACACCGAUGGCGAAGGCAGCCUCCUGGGGAUAACACUGACGCUCAUGCACGAAAGCGUGGGGAGCAAAACAGGAUUAGAUACCCUGGUAGUCCACGCCCUAAACGAUGUCAACUAGCUGUUGGGGGCCUUCGGGCCUUGGUAGCGCAGCUAACGCGUGAAGUUGACCGCCUGGGGAGUACGGUCGCAAGAUUAAAACUCAAA